Molecule: small RNA, 2181 nt
Filed under: Histoplasma ohiense
Lineage: Eukaryota; Fungi; Ascomycota; Eurotiomycetes; Onygenales; Ajellomycetaceae
Description: hypothetical lncRNA
Source: RNAcentral
GCUUCUGUCAGGUGUUGCCCUAAUUUGACAACCUGCGUGCCGCUCCCGCAGUAUACGCAGCCUCACCCUUCCCUAGCGGCUAGCGUGUUGUGCUAGCGCCUAUUCUACAAAAGUAGACGCGCCAUGUUCUAACUAGGUACUGACAUCUUCAUCUUCCUCGCUGUCACAUCACACCCCCCUAGUAAAAUGCUGGCGACGCAGAGAGCCAAAGCCGGAGUGAGGUGCACUAACUUCCAGUGUGGCUUAUGCUCAGUUAAACCUCUAGUUAAGCUCAGAAAAUCUACUCGCGCUAACUGAAUACAGUUAAAUCCUGAGCUAGCAUCAUCAUGAGAAAUCACUGGAAGAUAUCAAAUACAACUGGGCAUCAUAGGAUGUAUGGCUGUGGUCUAUGAAUCCAAGCAUGUUUGCGUAGCCUCUUAACAUUUGCCAAUUUACGGCCAUGGCUCCACCUACUUUUACAGAGAUUAUAUAUUCCUUCAAACAAGAUCAGCAACUAAAAGCUAUGUUCCACACCGAUCUGAGCAGUGCAAUUGCUUUCUAACAAAAUAGAGAGAUGGAUCGAAUGCAACUAGUCAAGCCGCACACCAGAAUUAAUUCCAUCCCAGCUUGGAUGGAUGAGAUAACGCGGGCAAAUAAAUGAACACAGAAAAUCACUUGCUCAGAAUGUAGGCAGCUCUUGUUGAUAGCUUGAACUCUACAGUUUCACCUGAAUGGCAGAUGAUGGCUAUGCCUCCGACGCGAGCUCCGUUGAAUCGGCGAACUCGAGUGUGUUUUGACUAUCAGUAAGACAACGCUCGCCUACCCUCAGGGAAUUCUCUUAGUUAAUAGUAACCAUUACCCCAGGCCCAAGCUGAACCCAUCACUCAUACUACGCAGGAUUCUGCAGGGUACGCUAACUGGUCUCGCGGAUUUAUAUGAACAAGGUAUCCUACACGGCGACAUCAGACCCAACAGUGUAUUUGUGGACUAUGAAAACCUGAUGGUUCUAUCAGGGUAAGCCAAGCCCAGAUCGGUGAUCUUGAGAUGGGGUUGAUGAUUUCGCCGGGCUUAAAUGUCUGUGGCUCCUGACUAGAAAAUCCCAUGUAUUGUAGCUCUAAGUCCCACAUUGCCUCUCAGAUCAAUCACCCAUCUGACAUUUUUUUCUUUCAGCUUUGUUGUGAGUAAUCAACCUGUUCAGGGCUUGGAUUUGUUAAUGACCUUGGUGUUUUAAAGUGCAUAUAUGCAAUGCUUCAGAAGAUUCUUUUUGUUUUGAUUCAGAGGGUUUGACUGAAGAGGAGACAGAAAGCAUUUGGACUACAACACUGCACCAUGGUGAGACCUCAUUCUGGAUGUGACCAAUGAGUUCUCACCAGAAAACCCAAGGAAAUCAUUCUCCAUGUGGGAGGAUGUUGACAAAUACUUCCGAGAUCUCAUCACGAAGAUGACCAGCCUGGAUCCCACCAGAGGGAUCACAGCGAGGGAGGCCCUUGGACAUCCUUGGUUUCAGAACGUAUAGCGGGAACUGAAGAUUAUGCAUGCUAUUUCUCCGCGCCAAACCAACUCAGUUUCCUCUUGCUGAAUCGGCCGCAAUCAAUCUUUUUGGUGAAGUCACAUACUCCGUAGAAAAUUUACGGAUUCCCUUCGAAACUCUUGAAGUUUAAAGUAUAGUAGGUAGAUGCCUGUUUCGAGUCCAGUCUUUGAUGGUCAACAUUCCAUAGUGCUCCUCAGAUUUCAGACCACACGUCGACAAGUAACAAAAACCAAUGAACAGAUUCCUAAAAUAUCGCCAUGCCCCUUUCACCUAGCACAUUAAAAUAUAAUUAAUACCAAACUAACCCUCAGCCAGCAUCAUCUUUCCACAUAUACCCAUGAAAGUGGGCUUCAUUUCUUGAUCAAAUGACGAGAUGCCAUGGCAUUUUUGGAUUUAUCCAACUCAAGAAUAGAAAAAGUGGCUCCUUUGGUCUCUUUUGCUGUUGUGCUCCUUAAAAGCAGAUACUGUGGAAUAUUUUUCAGGGCGGAUAGGGGUAAAGGAUAGAUGGAGAUGAUAGUCGAAGAAGCUAGAGGAUAAAGAUACAAUUUUAAUGAAGGAUAUGGGAGUGGGAAUGGGUUUGAUGGGAUAACAAGGCAAAAUUUGUAUAUAAUAUCCAAGCCUGGCCAGGGGGUUGGCAUCCCUAUCGCUCGCUGGAUGGUUGUAUAGUGCGG